GAUGAACGCUGGCGGCGUGCCUAAUACAUGCAAGUCGAGCGAACGGACGAGAAGCUUGCUUUUCUGAUGUUAGCGGCGGACGGGUGAGUAACACGUGGAUAACCUACCUAUAAGACUGGGAUAACUUCGGGAAACCGGAGCUAAUACCGGAUAAUACUUUGAACCGCAUGGUUCAAAAGUGAAAGACGGUCUUGCUGUCACUUAUAGAUGGAUCCGCGCUGCAUUAGCUAGUUGGUAAGGUAACGGCUUACCAAGGCAACGAUGCAUAGCCGACCUGAGAGGGUGAUCGGCCACACUGGAACUGAGACACGGUCCAGACUCCUACGGGAAGCAGCAGUAGGGAAUCUUCCGCAAUGGGCGAAAGCCUGACGGAGCAACGCCGCGUGAGUGAUGAAGGUCUUCGGAUCGUAAAACUCUGUUAUUAGGGAAGAACAUAUGUGUAAGUAACUGUGCACAUCUUGACGGUACCUAAUCAGAAAGCCACGGCUAACUACGUGCCAGCAGCCGCGGUAAUACGUAGGUGGCAAGCGUUAUCCGGAAUUAUUGGGCGUAAAGCGCGCGUAGGCGGUUUUUUAAGUCUGAUGUGAAAGCCCACGGCCCAACCGUGGAGGGUCAUUGGAAACUGGAAAACUUGAGUGCAGAAGAGGAAAGUGGAAUUCCAUGUGUAGCGGUGAAAUGCGCAGAGAUAUGGAGGAACACCAGUGGCGAAGGCGACUUUCUGGUCUGUAACUGACGCUGAUGUGCGAAAGCGUGGGGAUCAAACAGGAUUAGAUACCCUGGUAGUCCACGCCGUAAACGAUGAGUGCUAAGUGUUAGGGGGUUUCCGCCCCUUAGUGCUGCAGCUAACGCAUUAAGCACUCCGCCUGGGGAGUACGACCGCAAGGUUGAAACUCAAAGGAAUUGACGGGGACCCGCACAAGCGGUGGAGCAUGUGGUUUAAUUCGAAGCAACGCGAAGAACCUUACCAAAUCUUGACAUCCUUUGACAACUCUAGAGAUAGAGCCUUCCCCUUCGGGGGACAAAGUGACAGGUGGUGCAUGGUUGUCGUCAGCUCGUGUCGUGAGAUGUUGGGUUAAGUCCCGCAACGAGCGCAACCCUUAAGCUUAGUUGCCAUCAUUAAGUUGGGCACUCUAAGUUGACUGCCGGUGACAAACCGGAGGAAGGUGGGGAUGACGUCAAAUCAUCAUGCCCCUUAUGAUUUGGGCUACACACGUGCUACAAUGGACAAUACAAAGGGCAGCGAAACCGCGAGGUCAAGCAAAUCCCAUAAAGUUGUUCUCAGUUCGGAUUGUAGUCUGCAACUCGACUACAUGAAGCUGGAAUCGCUAGUAAUCGUAGAUCAGCAUGCUACGGUGAAUCCGUUCCCGGGUCU
Molecule: ribosomal RNA, 1372 nt
Filed under: uncultured bacterium
Lineage: Bacteria
Description: bacterial SSU rRNA
Rfam family: Bacterial small subunit ribosomal RNA
Source: RNAcentral